AUUUUUGUCAUUAAAAGCAACUCACGGCCUCCUGAACCUUCUUUGACGGAGACGGACUGUGGUCCUAGAUCACAUCCUCGGGUCUCAAGUCUGCGAGGACAGGAAGCACGUAACCGUCAGAUUGUACGGUUCGGGAGAACAGGUAGCUGGUUCCUGCAGGAAAGCAGAACUUGACCCAAGACCAUCUCUUGUCAUACAACAGCAAUCCUCCAAAGCUAGACGCGGUCUUCAUAUUGUUCACUGAGUAUUCAGAGCACUGAAGAGCCACAGGGGCAUUUGAAUGGGGCUGCUGUUAUUCCUGAUGGGGACUGCACGGCUGGCCACAGCGCGGACAGAACCACAUCUCCAAGGCAAAGAGAACCGUAAGGGGAUCGAUGCUUCAUCAUCUGACCUCUGAACUCAUGGCCCAGCCUUUCCUCCAUGAAGCAAAUGCAAACCAGAAAGAAUAUAUCCAGAAUGUUUCCUUCGGGAAAUCAGCAUUGCUGUGUUCCUUCGGGUCGACCCCUGGCUGUGUCUAACCUUGACUGACACACUGGAACAGAGUCUUACCCUCAUAGAUGUGGGGGUGGGUAGAUUCCGUGUGAGAACCAGUGCCCGUCACGGUUGGUGAAAUCAGCUUCAAGGUGAUCCUGGGACUUCUGUGCAACACAUUCUCUCACUGAAGCUCUGGAGUUAAGAGGCUUGCUGGCGGCUUUAUGGAACGUCACGUGGCCUCAUCCUUCCCGAGUGAAGGAUUUUCUGUGCUGUCAUAAAAGGUCAGAAUGAAGCCAGACACAUUUAAAAGGACAAGGUCAGGCCACAAGCCUGGGCCACAGCUCUGCCUUAUUGGCUUCAGAUCGUACAUCCUCAGGACUGUUGAAAUUAAUGCCAGCUUAGCCCCCAGAGCCUCUCACCUGCCCUAAAGGGAAAGUUCCGGAAGCUGGCUCAACCACGGAGGUGCCCAGAAGGUGGAGCUGGACGCACGGUUGAACAUUCUCAGGCGAUUGCAGGUGUCCACUUAUGUAUAUUUUAUUCAGAAA
RNAcentral lists this long non-coding RNA (1019 nucleotides) under Ursus maritimus (polar bear). Its description in RNAcentral is "lncRNA (ENSUMAG00000004439.1)". Lineage: Eukaryota; Metazoa; Chordata; Mammalia; Carnivora; Ursidae. The record is from RNAcentral.